UUAAAAUGUAAAAUGUGCUCGAUCUUAUCUGAUGUUGGAAGCUAAACAGGUCUAGCUUGGUUAGUACUUGGAUGAGAUUCUGUCUGGGAAUAUGGUGCAC
RNAcentral lists this ribosomal RNA (100 nucleotides) under Mus caroli (Ryukyu mouse). RNAcentral describes it as "rRNA (MGP_CAROLIEiJ_G0034193.1)". The record is from RNAcentral. Lineage: Eukaryota; Metazoa; Chordata; Mammalia; Rodentia; Muridae.